AAGUCUAAUAGGUCUCUUUGUAUGUUGGAAGCUCGCGACAAGUCACAACCACAUGGUUAGCUCAAACCUAUAUUAUUCUUUUUUCUUUUGGCCCUUCGUUCUUGCUUCGGGAAAAAUUUUGUUCUUGAGCUUCUAGACCCUUCUUCUUCUGACUUUCUAUGUGAAGCAAUGGUAACUACUUCAACCCUAAAGCUGGAGAACUUCUUUGAAGGUGCUACCAUGGGGACCCAUCACUAUGAAAGCAAUGACAGAGAAGCUAUGGCUCUGAGCUUAGACAGCAUGUUUUACAAUCAGAUGCCAGGCCAUGAGGUCAACAACCAAAAUUGCCUGGACCAUUUUGAUUAGAGCUCCAGGCUCCAACAGCCAUAGCAAAUUCAAGCCCAACACUACUCGUAUUACUCUGGCUUUAAAAUCCAUGCUAUAAUACUAGGGGACACAAGGGAGUCUCAGUUUGCAGAUUGCAAUCUCCGGCUUCCAACAAUGGCAGAUGAUAGGGUCUCUGGCUUGAAGAAAUAGAUCUCAAGGACCUGUCCAGUUAAUCAGUUGGGGGAACAGAAGAUGAUUGGUUGCCUGGGUGACAAUGGUAGUGAAUCUGGAGCUAUCGGUGCAAUGUCAUGUGGCGAUUUACAUUCUUUAAGCUUGUCCGUGAGGUCUAGCUCCCAAUCAAGCUAUGUUAUAGGUUCACAGCUCAUCUCACCCACUGUCACUGACUAUAUAGGCAUGGAUACCAAGAAAAAAGGGCCUGAAAAGGUGGAUCAAAAGCAAAUUGUUCAUAGGAACUUAGGAAGUCCUUGGAUACGUUUGGGCAGAGAACCUCCCAGUAUAGAGGUGUUACAAGGCAUAGAUGGACUGGUAGAUAUGAAGCCCAUCUGUGGGACAACAGCUACAAAAAAGAAGGCUAGAGUAGGAAAGGAAUGCAAGGUUUGGAAACAAGACAAAUUAUAUAAUCCUCCCCCUGUGAUGUUCUUUUUUUUUAACUUUGAAAGCCUCUGCAAUUAUUUUUGGUCUCUUUCUAUGCUUUUCCUGAACAAUUCCAAGUAUCACUGAUCUGCGAUGUUUCUUUCUUGGCCGGGGAUAUCAUUUCCAAUAAAAUGAUGAUUCUUAGUUUAUCUGGGCGGUUAUGACUUGGAAGAAAAAGUAGCAAGAGCGUACGAUCUUGCAGCACUCAAGUAUUGGGGACCCUCUACUCACAUCAGUUUCCCUGAAAUGAUUCUCUUCUCUUUAUGUUCCACUCUGUCAAGGAAGGUUACUUUAAUGUUAGUUACCUAAACUCAACCAUGAUGUUCCUUUUGGUAGUUGGAGAGUUAUAAAAAAGAACUGGAUGAAAUGAACAUGAUCAGACAGGAAUAUGUUGCUCACCUAAGAAGGUCGUUUUCUUCAAACCCCCCACUCCUCUCUCCAUGACGCCGCGGUGCAAGCAGUAGCAUGUUUUCUGAUUAGUAGAUUACUCAAAAUGUCCUGUGCAGGAAAAGCAGUGAAUUUUCUAGGGGGGCUUCAAUAAAGAGAGGAGUAACAAGGCUCGGAUUGGCUGGGUUGCAGGAAGCAAGGAUCUUUAUCUUGGAACGUUUAGUACCCAAGAGGAAGCGGCAGAAGCCUACGAUAUCACGGCUAUCAAGUUUCGUGGGGUGAAUGCGGUAACUAACUUUGACAUAACAAGGUACGAUGUAGAACGUAUCAUGGCAAGUAGUACCCUUCUUCCUGGAUAAGUUGCAAAGAGACGUAAGCAGACAGGUUCCAAUAUGAUUGAGGCUUUGGACCACCUUCCUACUGAUAAUAGCAACGGGGAAGCAAGUAUCUCCCAGAAGAACAGUGAAUGUGAAUCGGAAUGGAAGACGGCUGACCUCCAUCAGGAAACUAAUCACAAGCCACCAAAAACUGAAAGUUACAGGACCUAAUUUUUCCCAGAGGGUAUGAUUGAAUAACGGGUAGAGGACUCGGCCAAUAAACGAACUCAUUCGUCAAAUGUUUCAUCUUUGGUGACCAGCUGAAGCAGCUCGAGAGAAGGCAGCCCGAAUAGAGCUUGCCUCCCAAUGCUAUUUGGAUUGCCUACAUCUUCCUCCAUGUUGUUAGCUACUCUAACUGGCGCGAAUUCUUGGAUCCCUUCAACUCAAAUGAGGCCUGCUCUCUUCAUGCCACUUUUAGCAGCUUGGACGGAUGCAUAGACUUUGUCUUCUGAUAAAACUAGCAUUUCUUUUGUAUGACCGCGAGGUGAAUUUAAUGUUUGUCAUCUUUGUUGGAGGUAUUAAUUGGGGAUUAAUUGA
RNA transcript from Carya illinoinensis, 2261 nucleotides. RefSeq lists it as uncharacterized. The transcript has 5 exons. The record is from RefSeq and is a predicted model, not a curated record. Lineage: Eukaryota; Viridiplantae; Streptophyta; Magnoliopsida; Fagales; Juglandaceae.